CCUACGGGGGGCAGCAGUGAGGAAUCUUGGUCAAUGGACGCAAGUCUGAACCAGCCAUGCCGCGUGCAGGAAGACGGCUCUAUGAGUUGUCAACUGCUUUUGUACGAGGGUAAACGCAGAUACGUUUAUCUGUCUGAAAGUAUCGUACGAAUAACGAUCGGCUAACUCCGUGCCAGCAGCCGCGGUAACACGGAGGAUUCAAGCUUUAUCCGGAUUUAUUUGGGUUAAAGGGUGCGUAGGCGGUAGGUGAAGUUAGAGGUGAAAUCCCGAGGCUCAACUUCGGAAUUGCCGCUGAUACUGUUCGGCUAGAGAGUAGUUGCGGUAGGCGGAAUGUAUGGUGUAGCGGUGAAAUGCUUAGAGAUCAUACAGAACACCGAUUGCGAAGGCAGCUUACCAAGCUACUUCUGACGUUGAGGCACGAAAGCGUGGGGAGCAAACAGGAUUAGAUACCCGGGUAGUC
This 460-nucleotide ribosomal RNA is filed under the name uncultured bacterium. RNAcentral's name for it is "partial 16S ribosomal RNA". It matches the Rfam family "Bacterial small subunit ribosomal RNA", at positions 338 to 795 of the family's 1533-position model. The record is from RNAcentral.